GGAGUGGAUGGAGAAGGAAAAAGGAUUUUAAGAAAUCUGGCUGUGGAUAGUGGCUUAGGGGCUUGUAAAUGGAAUGAUUUGGGGGAGAGUAAAGGCCCACCCAAAGACUUACACGUUCUAGUCUUGGGAACCAGUAAAUUCCCUACCUUAGAUGGCAAAAGCGACUUUGCAAAUGUGAUUAAAGAGACAUGCAAUGAGAAGGACUCCAGUGGCUGUUGCUGGCUUUAAAGAUGGAGGAAGGGGACGCGAACCAAAGAAUUCCCGCAGCCUCCAGCAGCAGAAAAGCUGUGGAAAUGGGUUCUCCCAAAUCUCCACAAAGGAACCAAGCCCUGCUGACUCCUUCAUGUGAAUUCAGUGAGACCCGUGUGGGACUUCUGAUCUCCAGAACAGUCAAAUAAUAAACUACCUAUCCAUCUCUUAGGAUAUUAAAGUAGGCUCUUAAUGAAUGUUUAAUGGAAGAAUGAAUUAAAAAAGGAAGUGGAUUAAACUAAUUCACAGUAAACUGCAAA
Suricata suricatta (meerkat) is the source of this 509-nucleotide long non-coding RNA. RefSeq lists it as uncharacterized. The transcript is spliced from 2 exons. The record is from RefSeq and is a predicted model, not a curated record. NCBI's taxonomy places the organism in Eukaryota, Metazoa, Chordata, Mammalia, Carnivora, Herpestidae.